AGAGUUUGAUCAUGGCUCAGGACGAACGCUGGCGGCGCGCCUAACACAUGCAAGUCGAACGAAGAUUUUAGGAGCUUGCUUUUGAAAUCUUAGUGGCGGACGGGUGAGUAACGCGUGAGUAACCUGCCUUUCAGAGGGGGAUAACGGCUGGAAACGGCCGCUAAUACCGCAUGACAUAUUGAGACCGCAUGGUCUUGAUAUCAAAGGAGCAAUCCGCUGAAAGAUGGACUCGCGUCCAAUUAGCUAGUUGGCGGGGUAAAGGCCCACCAAGGCGACGAUUGGUAGCCGGACUGAGAGGUUGAACGGCCACAUUGGGACUGAGACACGGCCCAG
Molecule: ribosomal RNA, 333 nt
Filed under: uncultured bacterium
Lineage: Bacteria
Description: bacterial SSU rRNA
Rfam family: Bacterial small subunit ribosomal RNA
Source: RNAcentral